Long non-coding RNA from Diprion similis, 182 nucleotides. RefSeq lists it as uncharacterized. The record is from RefSeq and is a predicted model, not a curated record. Lineage: Eukaryota; Metazoa; Arthropoda; Insecta; Hymenoptera; Diprionidae. The transcript has 4 exons.
UUCUGGUGUAAAUUUUGAAAGAGAGACGGUUAAAGCUUUCUUACAACGAUAACAACAAUCCGGAACAAUGGUCGAUUCGAUAUGUGCAAUCUGCUCAUAAUCAGACGCCGGGAUCCCUACGCGGUCACAUGAACACCUCGGUGUCCACGCCGCAGAGAACCUGGUGCCUCUCAUGUAUGCAA